GGCGCUUAGCUCAGUUGGUUAGAGCGUGGUGCUGGCAACGCCAAGGUUGCAGGUUCGAUUCCAUUGGAGGGUUG
Molecule: non-coding RNA, 74 nt
Organism: Podarcis lilfordi (Lilford's wall lizard)
Lineage: Eukaryota; Metazoa; Chordata; Lepidosauria; Squamata; Lacertidae
Source: the annotation of a GenBank genome assembly